This 398-nucleotide ribosomal RNA is filed under the name uncultured Rhodoferax sp. Its description in RNAcentral is "bacterial SSU rRNA". It matches the Rfam family "Bacterial small subunit ribosomal RNA", at positions 983 to 1382 of the family's 1533-position model. Lineage: Bacteria; Pseudomonadati; Pseudomonadota; Betaproteobacteria; Burkholderiales; Comamonadaceae. The record is from RNAcentral.
GACAUGUACGGAAGUCGCUAGAGAUAGUUCGUGCUCGAAAGAGAGCCGUAACACAGGUGCUGCAUGGCUGUCGUCAGCUCGUGUCGUGAGAUGUUGGGUUAAGUCCCGCAACGAGCGCAACCCUUGUCAUUAGUUGCUACAUUCAGUUGGGCAACUCUAAUGAGACUGCCGGUGACAAACCGGAGGAAGUGGGGAUGACGUCAAGUCCUCAUGGCCCUUAUAGGUGGGGCUACACACGUCAUACAAUGGCUGGUACAAAGGGUUGCCAACCCGCGAGGGGGAGCUAAUCCCAUAAAACCAGUCGUAGUCCGGAUCGCAGUCUGCAACUCGACUGCGUGAAGUCGGAAUCGCUAGUAAUCGUGGAUCAGAAUGUCACGGUGAAUACGUUCCCGGGUCUU